AUCGCGCUUCCCAUUUCUUUAAACCAAGUCAUCGUCUCCCCUGUAACCGCCUCCCUCCUCCAUCAUGAGUCUGUUGAUCUCGUCCUCCCUCUCUCCGUCGUCCUCUCUCUUCGAGGAACCCUUACUCGCCCAGUCCUUUCUCCCUCCCCCCUUCGAUCUCGUAUGGGGGGAGGUUCGGGUUCGGCCCCUCGUCGGUGGCCGACUCAAUGAUCGUGGUGAACACGCCGAGCCAGGAUCUGGUCCUCACCAACUUCGCCUACUGCUCCUCCACGGAUCUUGACAAGUACGCCGCACCCGGGUCCAAGAACGUCCUCGUCCUCGUCCUCGUUGGAUAUUCGUUGGAUGCUGUACUUAUCUCUCAACUUCAGAAAAAAUUUAUUGACCAGUUAAUCAGCGUGAAGCUGCCAGCAGCAAAAUUUUCCAUCAUAAAGAGUUCAACCUUCAGAAGCUAGGAAUUGGAGGACUAACCGUUGGAUUCAUUGAAAAUUUUCGACGAGCAUUUGCUUCUCGAGUUUUUCCUCCCAAUGUUGUUGAUAAGUUAUUUUUGUGCAUACUUUUAAGUUGUCAACAUAAAAAAUGUCUAAGUCUUUAUUCCUUUCUGAUUGUUAGAUCCUCGAGAUUAGGUAUCAAGCAUGUGAAAUGAAUGUUGCUUUAUGGACCGCCAGAUGCGGAAGCUGUUGAAUGGCAAGGAGCUAAAGGCCUUUCAAAUAGGGAGUGAGAUAUCAGCAUCGACUGCAAAGCUUCUUUGAUGCUGUCCCAUCUUCAUCAUCACUACAGUAAGAUGACUUGGAUGAGGCCUCCAAAGGAGGGGUGAAGUCGACGAUACGAACGAUGUUGGAUAGGCCUUGGAAGGAAGGGUAUGUGUCUUGGUACUUGAGGAGGUCGGUGGCAACCAUCGAACUCAGAGUCCUAAGCAUAAAUUCUUCCCUUUGAGACCUCAUCCAACAUCGCUCAAUAGCCGAAUGCUCAUGGACACCCUCUUUCGUGAAUCAGGAAGAACAUAUUUUUGCAACCCAAAGCAGAAGUUAAAUAGACAAAAGUCGUCCUACUGAAUCACUACUAUUACGUGAUCAAACAUGCAUGAUUCAUGCAUCGCAAGAAUACUAAGUUUCAGUUCAUGA
Molecule: non-coding RNA, 1121 nt
Organism: Musa acuminata subsp. malaccensis (wild Malaysian banana)
Lineage: Eukaryota; Viridiplantae; Streptophyta; Magnoliopsida; Zingiberales; Musaceae
Source: RefSeq, a predicted model, not a curated record